GUUCUGCAAUUGACUCGCGACUGGGUUGUGCAGGCUACAGAUGGUGGUGCGAAGGGGUGCCAUGGGUGGUCAACUUUAGUCGUUAUUGUCGUCGCCUCCUAAUGAACCCCUGGUUGGACCUCCUUCUUUCUAUAUCAGGGGUUACAACGUCUUCAAAGACCGUUCGCGUGAGAAGUAUUGGUGCUGGGCUAUCGUACAGAUUUGGUCAGCGACAGCAAGACCGGCUAGCUUUUAUCAGAUAGAGAUUUAUCAUCACAAUUCUAUGAAUCUAAAUCUUGGUUGAUAGCUUCUGCUAAGAGGAAAUUAAAGAAAGGGGAUUUUAUGCAUUAAUAAUGUAAGUUUGCAGUUCACAAAUGUCACCUAGAAUUGCUAAAAUUAGUAAUAUGGUUUAAUGAACUUAGUGUUAUGUAUUAAAAAAAGAAAUAGAUUGAUAAUUUAUUAGCUAAGAUUUAUAGAAUUGUACAGAGGAAAUUUGAAUUGGUGGGUGUUCCUUGCUUUUGUUUUAUUAGUGGAUUGAGUGAUAAUGAAAUUCAAUAUAAUCUAUAUGAGUUUUUGUUUUUUUUUGCCUUUUCUGCUUUUCUCCGUCUCUUCUAUAUCUCUCUCAGGAAACUUUUGUUAAAUAUAUAAAUUAUAUUAAAGUAUUAGAAAUAUAUUCAUUUUUCUCGCUUUGAUAUUUUCAUUUUUAUGUUUCUCCAACCAAUGUAUAUAAUGAUCACUGAGUUAUGUUCAUUUAUACAUCUAAUUGAAUAUGCAACUAAGCAUAAUGAUUAUGUAACAUAAUGAUUUAUGCAUCUUCUGUUUUCUACUCAGGUAAUUGCUGCUGAUAACUUCUUCAGUAGAUCAAAGGACAAUCUUAUGAAAUGGAUUGGUCGACAUCCCAGAUUUGAGCUUAUUCGUCAUGUUAUAGGAGUUUUCUCCUUGUAGAGUUGUAGUUGUUCCAGUUAUAUUCGUCAUGAGAUUUGUAGGACAUCAAUGUUUAUAACUUAACAUGUUUCUUUAAUAAGAUCUCACCUCUUAUGGUGUAUUUUUUGUAUGUGAUUUUAGUACAAUUAUGAAGAUAGCAUUUUCCUAUUUUCUUUUCA
Long non-coding RNA from Humulus lupulus (European hop), 1082 nucleotides. RefSeq lists it as uncharacterized. The record is from RefSeq and is a predicted model, not a curated record. NCBI's taxonomy places the organism in Eukaryota, Viridiplantae, Streptophyta, Magnoliopsida, Rosales, Cannabaceae. The transcript is spliced from 3 exons.